UKCAUCGAUGAAGAASGUAGCAAACUGCGAUACUUGGUGUGAAUUGCAGAAUCCCGUGAACCAUCGAGUCUUUGAACGCAAGUUGCGCCCAAAGCCAUUAGGCCGAGGGCACGUCUGCCUGGGCGUCACGC
This 131-nucleotide ribosomal RNA is filed under the name Strychnos axillaris. Its description in RNAcentral is "partial 5.8S ribosomal RNA". It matches the Rfam family "5.8S ribosomal RNA", at positions 29 to 154 of the family's 154-position model. Rfam says of the family: 5.8S ribosomal RNA (5.8S rRNA) is a component of the large subunit of the eukaryotic ribosome. It is transcribed by RNA polymerase I as part of the 45S precursor that also contains 18S and 28S rRNA. Functionally, it is thought that 5.8S rRNA may be involved in ribosome translocation. The record is from RNAcentral. Lineage: Eukaryota; Viridiplantae; Streptophyta; Magnoliopsida; Gentianales; Loganiaceae.